CAAUAGCGUAUAUUAAAGUUGUUGCUGUUAAAAAGCUCGUAGUUGAAUUUUUGCUUGCCGCCGAUGUCGGAACUUCCGUACGUUCGGCGGCGUGCAUCCUUGGGUGGAACCUGUGUGGCAUUAGGUUGUCGUGCAGGGGAUGCUCAUCGUUUACUGUGAAAAAAUUAGAGUGUUCAAAGCAGGCUUACGCCGUUGAAUAUAUUAGCAUGGAAUAAUAAGAUAGGACCUUGGUACUAUUUUGUUGGUUUGCGCACCGAGGUAAUGAUUAACAGGGACAGUUGGGGGUAUUCGUAUUCCAUUGUCAGAGGUGAAAUUCUUGGAUUUCUGGAAGACGAACUACUGCGAAAGCAUUUACCAAGGAUGUUUUCAUUAA
Molecule: ribosomal RNA, 373 nt
Filed under: uncultured eukaryote
Lineage: Eukaryota
Description: partial 18S ribosomal RNA
Rfam family: Eukaryotic small subunit ribosomal RNA
Source: RNAcentral